GGAUGUGAGGGGGUCUGGCUGCGACAUCUGUCACCCCACUGAUUGGCAGGGUUGAUCUGGCUGAUCUGGCUGGCUAGGCGUGUGUCCCCUUCCUCCCUCACUGCUCCAUGUACGUCCCUCCCGAAGCUGCGAGCUCGAAGACAACGACCUUCCCCACUAGACAAGGACUGGUCUUCAGUGAGGGUAUAGGAGUUGCUGCACUCCCCUGCUAGAACCUCCAAGCAAAAACACCCAGCAGCCUGUUAAAGGGGAUGACUGGUAUGUGCAAAGAAGUAAAGGCAUGAAGUUCAUGUCUGGUAUCAU
Molecule: small nuclear RNA, 303 nt
Filed under: Oryctolagus cuniculus (rabbit)
Lineage: Eukaryota; Metazoa; Chordata; Mammalia; Lagomorpha; Leporidae
Description: 7SK RNA
Rfam family: 7SK RNA
About the family: 7SK was discovered as an abundant small nuclear RNA in the mid-70s but a possible function has only recently been suggested. Two independent studies have found that 7SK RNA binds the CDK9/cyclin T complex (known as elongation factor P-TEFb). P-TEFb activates transcription by phosphorylating the C-terminal domain of RNA polymerase II.
Source: Rfam by way of RNAcentral